GACGAACGCUGGCGGCGUGCUUAACACAUGCAAGUCGAACGGAAAGGCCCUGCUUUUGUGGGGUGCUCGAGUGGCGAACGGGUGAGUAACACGUGAGUAACCUGCCCUUGACUUUGGGAUAACUUCAGGAAACUGGGGCUAAUACCGGAUAGGAGCUCCUGCUGCAUGGUGGGGGUUGGAAAGUUUCGGCGGUUGGGGAUGGACUCGCGGCUUAUCAGCUUGUUGGUGGGGUAGUGGCUUACCAAGGCUUUGACGGGUAGCCGGCCUGGGAGGGUGACCGGCCACAUUGGGACUGAGCUACGGCCCAGACUCCUACGGGAGGCAGCAGUGGGGAAUAUUGCACAAUGGGCGGAAGCCUGAUGCAGCAACGCCGCGUGCGGGAUGACGGCCUUCGGGUUGUAAACCGCUUUCGCCUGUGACGAAGCGUGAGUGACGGUAAUGGGUAAAGAAGCACCGGCUAACUACGUG
Molecule: ribosomal RNA, 468 nt
Filed under: uncultured bacterium
Lineage: Bacteria
Description: partial 16S ribosomal RNA
Rfam family: Bacterial small subunit ribosomal RNA
Source: RNAcentral